RNAcentral lists this ribosomal RNA (431 nucleotides) under uncultured bacterium. RNAcentral's name for it is "bacterial SSU rRNA". It matches the Rfam family "Bacterial small subunit ribosomal RNA", at positions 29 to 506 of the family's 1533-position model. The record is from RNAcentral.
AUGAACGCUGGCGGCAUGCCUAACACAUGCAAGUCGAACGAGAUCUUCGGAUCUAGUGGCGCACGGGUGAGUAACGCGUGGGAAUCUACCCUUGGGUUCGGAAUAACUCAGAGAAAUUUGAGCUAAUACCGGAUGAUGACGUAAGUCCAAAGAUUUAUCGCCCAAGGAUGAGCCCGCGUAAGAUUAGCUUGUUGGUGAGGUAAAGGCUCACCAAGGCGACGAUCUUUAGCUGGUCUGAGAGGAUGAUCAGCCACACUGGGACUGAGACACGGCCCAGACUCCUACGGGAGGCAGCAGUGGGGAAUAUUGGACAAUGGGCGAAAGCCUGAUCCAGCAAUGCCGCGUGAGUGAUGAAGGCCUUAGGGUUGUAAAGCUCUUUUACCAGGGAUGAUAAUGACAGUACCUGGAGAAUAAGCUCCGGCUAACUCCGU